RNAcentral lists this long non-coding RNA (7021 nucleotides) under Ananas comosus (pineapple). RNAcentral describes it as "long non-coding RNA (ACOM_LNC005563)". Lineage: Eukaryota; Viridiplantae; Streptophyta; Magnoliopsida; Poales; Bromeliaceae. The record is from RNAcentral.
CAAGCAUUCAUUCAAAUACAUCUCAGUACACCUCAAAUCAGUUUACAUUUUACUUCCGAUUACAAACACAAUGUAUUACAUCAUUUAUUUUACAAGUUUAGUACAUCUUGAUUCUAGCCUUCUAGACCCCUAAGCUAGACUGCCUCAGGGUACUGCUACCUCGGUCUCUGUGGUGGGGCGCUAUCUACUGAGCUACGCCCUCGCCUCGCGCCGCCGCGCCGCACACGAACGACCUGAAAACCCCAAAACAACGUGGGGUGAGAACCAACUCCAUGGUUCCCAGUGGGUACGGCCACCCAAGAGAAAAGUUCGACCAAUAGGUCUAAGUAGGCCCUGCAACAUGUCAGUUCAACAAUAUACAAUGCGAAUAUAUUCAAUUGAAAUACAUGUCAGGCCUAACAAUAUGCAAUAUGCAACUCAUGCAUCCAAACGCCUUUCUAGUAAAUUACUUGGUUCUACAGUUACUUAGCUACUUUAGCUUACAUCUUUACUCUAAGGUCUCUAUUACCUUAGCUCAAACCUCUAUCUCUAGCUCAUAAGGGUUCCUCUACCCUAUCAUAGCUAACCACCCGACUCGGCUUCGAGUCAAUCAUCCGCGGAUAGCCCGCGCGCUGGCUGCUCAACAGCCUACCGCUCUCAGCCCCCUAGCGGCGAAGUCGUCGCACACGCUAAGCUCGGCUCGAGUCGCACGACCUGUCCAUCUGGUGGCAAUCGCGUUGCUCUUACCCAGCGUGGGCGCGAGACAUGACAUACCGUCUGGCGGCGAACGGAUCGCACCACACCCAACAACGGUCAUGUCAAACUCAGCCACCUGGAUGCACCCGUAUCGUACUUACCCAGCAUGGCAUUAGUCUGCUCUGGCGGCCUGAUCCUCAAUGGCUUAACCAUCCUGGCGGCGAAAACAUCGCACAAACGCCACGGCAAUGGCUCAAGCCCCGGGCGGUGAUCUCCACGUGGUCACGCCCAAUCUACCCACAGUACCAAGCUCGGCGGCGAAGUCGUCGCACACACGCCCUAGCUUGUACUAGGGACAUCAAAAGUCCUGGGAUUUCGGAAUCCACUUUCCACAGGUCGAGGGUUCAUAACCAACCCUAUAUUGUCGACCUAUCUCAUCCUAGUGGCUAUACCACUAUACUCAUCAACCUAGGUUCCAACACUCUAGGUUCUAUGUCCAUGUCGCUUAACCUAGGUACACUUGCUAGGUUCUUGUCCUCUUUGCCUAGAUGUCCAUUUCUAGGUUUACUAGAUCGACCUAGGUUUACUAUCACUAGGUUCAAUGCCACACACCUAGAUUGUUCGACUCUAGGUUCACUAACACUAGGUUAGAUGCCACUCGAUCUAUCUGACAACCUAGUUGUCCAAUCCACUCUAGAGUUAUUACCUCAUGCUUCUCACUUAGCAUUUACUCUAUGCCUCUUCAUGCCUCAUGCAUCCUACUUAGCAUUUCUAUCUUAUGCAUUAUUGUUAGCACGCGUUCUUUACAUUACUUAACAUUUACUCUAUGCAUCUUAUCUAAUAUGCAUUCUUACUUUACUCAUGUCUACACGCACAUGCAUCAACAAAUGAUUACAUUGCUAAGACAUAAAGGGCGACCUAGUCGCUUCGGUAAGCACAACCCACCUUAGGUAGCUUUCCGAUUGCUCGUCGACACUUGCAAUCGGCCUCCCGCGGCACUCGGCACCCGCUUGGGCCCGAUCCUACAGUGGCUCCCCAAGAGCGCGUCGCUUCGCUGUUUCGAGUGUCGGCGACCUUCGCCUUGCCGCUACGGUGCUCGGGACCCACUCUCACAAUUUGUGGACGUCGCCUUGGCCUCCCAGGCGGAAACGAAGCUCCGAGCGCCCGUUUCUUCAACACCUUCGCGACGGCUCGUCGGAUCGCCGAACCGACUUCGCCAACGUGUUUCGUUACCUACCAAUUAGGUUAACAAGGGGUCAAAUGAGAUCAAUCUCAUCUAUUUACAAAAACCCCACUUUGAUGCCCUAGAUGCCAUUAUUGCCAAAUCCACCAAAUCGAUCUAUGAUUUGGGGUGAAAUCAUCUAAAUAGCAUGCUAGGGUACCACUAAAUCCAUUUCUAGGGUUUUAGAACCCAUCUCAAAGAAAUCACAUGAGAAGCCAUGGAACUCACCUCUCCAAGAGCUCCAAGGAGAAGAAGAAGACGAAGAGGAUGACGAUGGCGACGAUCUCCUGCAUCUCCUGCAUCUUCUCCUUCUUUUCCCUUCUCUCUUUUCCUUUUCUUUCUUUCUUUCUCUUUUCCUUCUUUGCUUCACGAUCAGAGAGAGGGAGAGAGAAAGAGGCUGAGGGAGUGUGAGAGAGAGAGAGAAAUAUCCCUCUCUAAUACCCUCUCACAUAUUGUAACAAUAUCCCCAAAGGCCCCUCAACUUUUCGUCUCUUACACAGCCCUCUCUGGGCAUCCUGCGCGCGGAGGGACCGGUCUCCCCGACCUGGGACCGGUCCCCGGGGCCUUCCCCCGCGGACACGCGUUCGGGAACCGGUCCCUCCCUGAGAGACCGGUCCUCGGGAGACCGGUUCCUCUCAGAGAGACCGGUUCCCGAGAGCUAUACUUCCGGGACUUAGCCGAUUUUCGGCUCUUCUCACUGAUGUCGAAGGCUGGGACCGGUCCCUCCUCUGCCAGGGACCGGUUGCAUCAGCAACCCCACAGCCUUCGGCUGAUGGGACCGGUCUCUCACCUCCAGAGACCGGUCCCCGAGAGCAACUUCAGCCCAAAAAUGCUAUUUGCAUUACUUGCUCUCGCGGACUCCAUUCUAAUACACUUCUCAAUUCUCGUGCAUCCUAAGCUUUUCCAAAGCUUAUCCAUUCGACCAUUAGUCGAUUCUGGACGAAGUGCAACCCUCGGACUUCGAGGAUUCACAUUGUUACAUUCUCCCCUCCUUAAAAGAGUUUCGUCCGCGAAACUCACUCAUUUCUAACCCCUUUAUUCCUCGACCCACUUCUCGAGUACUCAAGGGUUUCAAUGCACUUUUGCACCUCGGAGUGGCCUUUAUUCUCAUUGAAUUCAUCAAAAAGCCCACCACGAAGAACGUGAGGCCACAAUUACUCAUAUUUUCUCACUUGCAACAUCAAAAGUGCAUUACCACUUACAAAUCUCAAUGAUAGCGUGAGUCAUCACUCACAACUACAUGCACCAACGCUAACAGCCACUCGGCUUAGGCAGAACCACCCUUCGCUCUAUGGUGUGGAUUUAGCACGGUCGCAUCCCCGCGAUGAUCGAUCCACCACCACAAUUCUAUGUGUACGGGUAGACUCUCUCGAAUUACUCAAGUACUCACCAGGUGGUACUUCACCGACUUUGGCUAUACGAAGCCCGAAACCACCUUAUCAUCUCAUCGUCUCACCCAUACCAUCUCACCCAUCAGGAGAUGGCGUUCUUUCGUGCAUCUUGGAUUCUCAAUCCUUUUGAGAGCAUCAGUCUCGAUUUCAACUUUUCUCGUGGCUACCCAUUAUUCAAGCGUCUCCUAGAGACCACCUUCCUUUCUCCUGGCAUUAUAGGCCGCGUUCAACUUCACGUGAACUCCUCGUUCGCGAAUCCGAGCCCAAACUCACUAAUAGAGUUUUCGGCUAUACCGAUCGUCACUUCCUCAGGUGGACUAAGACCACCAGUUCCUACGUAGGUCAAUCGCUUAACUCAUCUCAAUGACGCCUAGCGUCACUCGCUCGCGAGCGCAGACCCAAUCAAUAUUCUCGGGCGACCUUCUCAUUGAAGAAUUCGCACGCACUCCAAACAGGAGCAUCCAAGUCCUCAAGUCGGGUCACUACACACUUGGCGUACUAUCGUUCUCACGAUCCUACGUGGCAUUCCACGCACUCGGGUCUAAGCUCGGACUACCGUCCUGACCAGAACUCUCCGCCCUACCUAUAGGUAUCGGGCCGCUGUCUCUCACAGCUGACUGCGCCUGCCCAAUGGGCCCAGGCUCCACAGUCCACAAAUGGUCCAGGCACGGGUCGUCCCCAAGCACUACCCGCCAACGUUGUCCUAUACGACAUGCUCUACAGAGCUACCCACUCUAUCGGCUCCUAGGCACCUAGUGCGAGCCACUAGCCCUCACGAGUGAUCCAUGGCCCGCUUCACACUUAGCCCUGCUAAAGUGCUACUGCCAAUCUACUCGACCGGCUGAAUCGAAUUCGCACCUCACGAUAAACUAUACUCGAGCACUUUACGCCUCCAUAGCGUCUCACACGAAAUCUGGCAUCAGGCGACUUAGCCUAUGCGCCCCGGCCACACGAGCAACCGCUCAUCUACCUCAAUUCGAGGUACUACUAGGCCCACAGGCCAAGUUCGGCACUACUCAGCUACUCUCUCAACAGUGAUUCUACUUUCACUGUUCGAUUCGUCAAAACAACAUCCGAGAUGCUCAGGCUACUCGAGUACUCGCGAUGUUACAGCGUAAUUCUCGCAAUUCGGUACUACUCAACCAAUUCCGCAACAGCGGCUCCUCACCACUGUUCGAUCUACCGAAUCCACAUCUGGAAUACUCUUGGGAUAUUCGGGUGUCCCCAAACAUCAAGGCUAAACUCUCGUAAUCUCUAAUCCAAUGCUUCGAGAGUCCCUUCACCACUCGAUUUCCCUUCGAGCCUCGCCUCCUAUCCAAAAUCGCCACUAGCCAUUUGCUAGGGUCACUUGGCUUUCUACCUACUCCAGUAGGCGCCAUACUCUCAUCCUGCUAGCAUGCUCGGGUACCUACUUGCCCGACCACUCGGUCUCUACUAUGCAAUGUAGUAAUAGUAGCAACUGACCAAUAAAAAAUGCACGCUAUGCACCAACUUGAGAUUAGUAAAAGCACAUGCUUGCUCAAUUAACUCAUACCUGCCACGACGACGUCAACAACGGCAGGCACCGCAACUCGGAUCGCUUAUCCAUGGCCACUUGGCGCUCGUUGCGAACCCUCUGGUUGCAACGUCCUCAACGGCUGCUCCCCUGACCAUGUCGCAGGUGGCACACCCGCCGGCUGUCCCAAGGAGGAAUGGGCCGUCGCUAGUGUCAGGGCCCGGCUAUCACCUAGCAGACACUCGUCCCGCACAUGACCCGGCAGCCCACACUUGAAGCACCUGCCCUCGCGCUGUUCACACUGCUGUGGGAAAUGAGGGCCUCCACAAAUCACACAUCUCGCCGAGGACCGAAUGUGAUACGUCCCCGGAGCUCUAGAUCGAGAGCGCGUCCUCACUGAGGUCUGCUGGGAACUCGACUGACCAUCAAGUCCCCCUACUGGCCGUCCCUUUCUUUUUUCCUUGUAAUGCUCCUCGCGCUUCUCCCGCAGGAAUGCAUUGCCUUGUUCUACCCACAAGGCCCGAUCCAGGACUUUAGCGAAAGUCUGUAACUUAAGCAUCAGCACUACCUGGUACAAAUCUGGCCGAAGCCCACGCACGAAGUAGUCAGCCUUGUCCUCAUCGUCCCGCACCACGUCUGGGACGCAAUGUACGAUACGGGAAAAUUCCCGCUCGUAUUGCCUAACCGUGCGGCUCCCUUGUCGCAGAUUAAGGAACCUCUCCUUAAGCUUCUGCUUCUCACUAUCGGGGAAAUAAGCAGAGAAUAUUAAUCCCCGAAAAUCUUCCCAAGUCAUAGGAGGGAGACUAGGUGGUCGGUCUUGCCUGACGCCCUUCCACCACACCUUCGCCGAUUGUUUAAGAUAAUGGGCAGCUAGGCUUACCUUGUCUCGCUCCAACGUGUACAGAUCCUCGAAGAGUGUUUCCAUGGAAUCGAUCCACAUCUCUAUGACCCACGGAUCUGCAUCUUCACCAUCAAAGGUAGGCGGAUCAAACUUCUUGAAAGUCAUGAGGGCCACUAAAGCUCGCUCCCUCUCCGCCGCAACCUCCGAACCAACGAAAGUCGGGUCGCCCGACCCCGACGGAAACAGCUUCGCCGCGAGUCCCGGCUGUCCUCGACCAGCCGCAGCUGGUGCUGCCACCAGCCGAUCCACGGUCUCUUGGAGUCAUUCCAUUCGCUCCUCCUGGCGCAUAGCAGCCUCCUGCUGCCGCUGUACCAUAUCAGCUUGUUGCCUCAUCACUCCUAUGAGUGUGGCCAGCUGAUCACGAAGCUCUGCACCUUCGCUCGUGUCAGUUCGCUCAGGGGCACCACUCGUCCCCUCCCGCGCCGAUCUAGAUGAAGAUCGCCUUCGCGGUGCCAUCGUUUCCUGAAACAGGACAACUCGAUUAGCUCUCGAUCGACCUGGGUCGAACACGAGACCACUAACACGGCUCAAAGCCAAUCUGGCGAAAGUCAAACAAGGGUGUCUAUCCUCAUCACUCGGUUUCACAUUGUGUGCACCCAACAUGAACACCCUCGGCUGAGAAUAAACAUUACCUUGAAUCUACCUCUAAUGUCCAUCUUAGAGGUUAUAACACGACCCAAUCCAUUACCUUUCGCCGCAAAUCGCAAGUCCUCGUCUCUCACGAGCCUUAUUCUCCUAUGGUUUACUAUCCUAGGGUCUCCUAGGUCUGCCUAAACCAUUUUCUUCCCAGUUCUACUUUAUGCUCUGAUACCAUCUUAUCUGUCACGCCCCGCGACCAACCGCCUAUUUGGACCGGAUCGCGGCGCCGACGACAGACUGCCGGACGGACCGGGAAUUUCCCUGUACGCGGACAGAGCCUCCCCAGUAUGUCCAAGGCGUCGCAAUCCAAACAAUCAACGAAUGUUCCAACAAGGAACGGAUAUCAAUCCAGAUUGCAUAAGUAUCAAAUACAUAAUCUACUUGCUAUUACAAGCAUUCAUUCAAAUACAUCUCAGUACACCUCAAAUCAGUUUACAUUUUAUUUCCGAUUACAAACACAAUGUAUUACAUCAUUUAUUUUACAAGUUUAGUACAUCUUGAUUCUAGCCUUCUAGACCCCUAAGCUAGACUGCCUCAGGGUACUGCUACCUCGGUCUCUGUGGUGGGGCGCUAUCUACUGAGCUACGCCCUCGCCUCGCGCCGCCGCGCCGCACACGAACGACCUGAAAACCCCAAAACAACGUGGGGUGAGAACCAACUCCAUGGUUCCCAGUGGGUACGGCCACCCAAGGGAAAAG